Molecule: ribosomal RNA, 516 nt
Filed under: uncultured bacterium
Lineage: Bacteria
Description: bacterial SSU rRNA
Rfam family: Bacterial small subunit ribosomal RNA
Source: RNAcentral
GAGUUUGAUCCUGGCUCAGGAUGAACGCUGGCGGCGUGCUUAACACAUGCAAGUCGAACGGGAAACCUUUUAUUGAAGCUUCGGCAGAUUUAGCUGGUUUCUAGUGGCGGACGGGUGAGUAACGCGUGGGUAACCUGCCUUAUACAGGGGGAUAACAGUCAGAAAUGACUGCUAAUACCGCAUAAGCGCACAGGACCGCAUGGUCCGGUGUGAAAAACUCCGGUGGUAUAAGAUGGACCCGCGUUGGAUUAGCUAGUUGGUGGGGUAACGGCUCACCAAGGCGACGAUCCAUAGCCGGCCUGGGAGGGUGAACGGCCACAUUGGGACUGAGACACGGCCCAGACUCCUACGGGAGGCAGCAGUGGGGAAUAUUGCACAAUGGGGGAAACCCUGAUGCAGCGACGCCGCGUGGAGGAAGAAGGUCUUCGGAUUGUAAACUCCUGUUGUUGGGGAAGAUAAUGACGGUACCCAACAAGGAAGUGACGGCUAACUACGUGCCAGCCGCCGCGGUAAUUC